UUUCUGCGACGCAGCUAACGCAUUAAGCGCCCCGCCUGGGGAGUACGAUCGCAAGAUUAAAACUCAAAGGAAUUGACGGGGCCCCGCACAAGCAGCGAAGCAUGCGGCUUAAUUCGACGCAACGCGAAGAACCUUACCAAGGCUUGACAUAUACAGGAAUACGGCAGAGAUGUCGUAGCGGUAAAACGUCUGUAUACAGGUGGUGCAUGGUUGUCGUCAGCUCGUGUCGUGAGAUGUUGGGUUAAGUCCCGCAACGAGCGCAACCCUCGUUCUGUGUUGCCAGCAUUUAGUUGGGGACUCACAGGAGACUGCCGGGGUUAACUCGGAGGAAGGUGGGGAUGACGUCAAAUCAUCAUGCCCCUUAUGUCUUGGGCUGCACGCAUGCUACAAUGGCUGGUACAAAGGGCUGCAAUACUGCAAAGUGGAGCGAAUCCCAAAAAGCCAGUCUCAGUUCGGAUUGGGGUCUGCAACUCGACCCCAUGAAGUCGGAGUUGCUAGUAAUCGUAGAUCAGCAACGCUACGGUGAAUACGUUCCCGGGGCUUGUACACACCGCCCGUCACAUCACGAAAGUCGUAACACCCAAAGUCAGUGGCCCAACCGCAAGGAGGGAGCUGCCAAAG
RNAcentral lists this ribosomal RNA (621 nucleotides) under uncultured Actinomycetes bacterium. Its description in RNAcentral is "bacterial SSU rRNA". It matches the Rfam family "Bacterial small subunit ribosomal RNA", at positions 838 to 1461 of the family's 1533-position model. Lineage: Bacteria; Bacillati; Actinomycetota; Actinomycetes. The record is from RNAcentral.